Molecule: ribosomal RNA, 492 nt
Filed under: uncultured bacterium
Lineage: Bacteria
Description: partial 16S ribosomal RNA
Rfam family: Bacterial small subunit ribosomal RNA
Source: RNAcentral
AGUGAACGCUGGCGGUAGGCCUAACACAUGCAAGUCGAACGGCAGCACAGUAAGAGCUUGCUCUUACGGGUGGCGAGUGGCGGACGGGUGAGGAAUACAUCGGAAUCUACUUUUUCGGGGGGGAUAACGUAGGGAAACUUACGCCAAUACCGCAUACGACCUACGGGGGAAAGCAGGGGAUCGUCGGACCUUGCGCGGAUGAAUGAGCCGAUGACGGAUUAGCUAGUUGGCGGGGUAAAGGCCCACCAAGGCGACGAUCCGUAGCUGGUCUGAGAGGACGGUCGGCCGCACUGGAACUGAGCCACGGUCCAGGCUCCUACGGGAGGCAGCAGUGGGGAAUAUUGGACAAUGGGCGCAAGCCUGAUCCAGCCAUACCGCGUGGGUGAAGAAGGCCUUCGGGUUGUAAAGCCCUUUUGUUGGGAAAGAAAAGCAGCAGGUUAAUACCCCGCUGUUCUGACGGUACCCAAAGAAUAAGCACCGGCUAACUUCGUG